RNAcentral lists this ribosomal RNA (254 nucleotides) under uncultured bacterium. RNAcentral describes it as "partial 16S ribosomal RNA". It matches the Rfam family "Bacterial small subunit ribosomal RNA", at positions 524 to 776 of the family's 1533-position model. The record is from RNAcentral.
UACAGAGGGUGCGAGCGUUGUCCGGAAUCACUGGGCGUAAAGGGCGCGUAGGUGGUGGCUUAAGCGUGCGGUGAAAGCUCGGGGCUCAACUCCGAGUCGGCCGUGCGAACUGGGCUCACUGGAGCAUAGUAGAGGCAGGUGGAAUUCCGGGUGUAGCGGUGGAAUGCGUAGAUAUCGGGAGGAACACCGGUGGCGAAGGCGGUUCUCUGGGCCUUACCUGACGCUGAGGAGCGAAAGCGUGGGGAGCGAACAGG